RNAcentral lists this ribosomal RNA (501 nucleotides) under uncultured bacterium. RNAcentral describes it as "partial 16S ribosomal RNA". It matches the Rfam family "Bacterial small subunit ribosomal RNA", at positions 30 to 523 of the family's 1533-position model. The record is from RNAcentral.
AUUGAACGCUGGCGGAAUGCUUUACACAUGCAAGUCGAACGGCAGCGCGGACUUCGGUCUGGUGGCGAGUGGCGAACGGGUGAGUAAUGUAUCGGAACGUGCCCAGUCGUGGGGGGAUAACGUAGUGAAAAUUACGCUAAUACCGCAUACGAUCUAUGGAUGAAAGCGGGGGAUCGCAAGACCUCGCGCGAUUGGAGCGGCCGAUAUCAGAUUAGGUAGUUGGUGGGGUAAAGGCCCACCAAGCCAACGAUCUGUAGCUGGUCUGAGAGGACGACCAGCCACACUGGAACUGAGACACGGUCCAGACUCCUACGGGAGGCAGCAGUGGGGAAUUUUGGACAAUGGGCGAAAGCCUGAUCCAGCCAUUCCGCGUGCAGGAUGAAGGCCCUCGGGUUGUAAACUGCUUUUGUACAGAACGAAAAGGUUUCUACUAAUACUAGGAGCUCAUGACGGUACUGUAAGAAUAAGCACCGGCUAACUACGUGCCAGCCGCCGCUGUAA